This 322-nucleotide ribosomal RNA is filed under the name uncultured Filosa. RNAcentral describes it as "SSU rRNA". The stretch from base 105 to 322 matches the Rfam family "Eukaryotic small subunit ribosomal RNA", at positions 736 to 955 of the family's 1831-position model. Lineage: Eukaryota; Cercozoa. The record is from RNAcentral.
GAUUUCUGGCUUGACGCGCUUGGCCCGCCUCGGUUACGAGUGUGAGUGCCGACGCGUGUCUGCCAUCCUUCUAGAGAACGGCCUUACCCUUCACUGGGCUGGGGUCGCGAUCUAGAUCUAUUACUUUGAAAAAAUUAGAGUGUUUAAAGCAGGCGUUUGCUGUGAAUACAUUAGCAUGGAAUAAUAAUUUAGGACUUUGGUUCUAUUUUGUUGGUUUCUAGGACUGAAGUAAUGAUUGAUAGGGACAGUUGGGGGUGCUAGUAUUCAGGGGCCAGAGGUGAAAUUCUUGGAUUCCCUGAAGACUAACUUAUGCGAAAGCAUU